AGUGAACGCUGGCGGUAGGCCUAACACAUGCAAGUCGAACGGCAGCACAGUAAGAGCUUGCUCUUACGGGUGGCGAGUGGCGGACGGGUGAGGAAUACAUCGGAAUCUACUUUUUCGUGGGGGAUAACGUAGGGAAACUUACGCUAAUACCGCAUACGACCUACGGGUGAAAGCAGGGGAUCUUCGGACCUUGCGCGAUUGAAUGAGCCGAUGUCGGAUUAGCUAGUUGGCGAGGUAAAGGCCCACCAAGGCAACGAUCCGUAGCUGGGCUGAGAGGAUGAUCAGCCACACUGGAACUGAGACACGGUCCAGACUCCUACGGGAGGCAGCAGUGGGGAAUAUUGCACAAUGGGCGAAAGCCUGAUCCAGCCAUACCGCGUGGGUGAAGAAGGCCUUCGGGUUGUAAAGCCCUUUUGUUGGGAAAGAAAAGCAGCAGGUUAAUACCCCGCUGUUCUGACGGUACCCAAAGAAUAAGCACCGGCUAACUUCGUG
This 492-nucleotide ribosomal RNA is filed under the name uncultured bacterium. RNAcentral describes it as "partial 16S ribosomal RNA". It matches the Rfam family "Bacterial small subunit ribosomal RNA", at positions 29 to 507 of the family's 1533-position model. The record is from RNAcentral.